UCUAAUAGAAUUCUAGCCAACAUCCAGUUACCCUAAGUCCCCAACCUCAUAAACUACCUGAGAGUCUGAGACACGGCGCCACUUAACUACCGUCGCCAUCUGCCACUCAACCACUGCUCAAUUACUCGAAAACGGAGCUAAGCCGCCGAAGGUGAACGCAGCUGCCGCUAACACAGCCUUGACGCCGAUCUCCGUUCAAGUUUCCACAGGUUCUUGAAGGAAGGAUAUUAAAGCUUUUUUAGAAGACAAUGGGGAGGCUGAAGCUCUUUGAUGAUGAACAAAACAAAGAUGAUGUGUCAAAGAUUGAGAUUAAUAAAGAAUAUGCAAAACGAUUUGAGCACAAUAAGAAGCGAGAAGAGCUGCAAAGGUACGAGGAGUUGAAGAAGAAAGGCGUGAUUGAAGAAUCAGAUGAAGACUCUGAUGAUGAAUCGAUAGAUUUGGAGGAAGGCAAUAAUGAUUUAUUGGGGCCUAGCAAACAAGACUUGGAGUUUUUUAAUGUACUGUUGAAAGUGAAGAAGAAGGAUCCGAUUAUUAAGGAAAAAGAUGCUAAGCUUUUUGAGUCUGAAUCAGAUGGGGGUGAAGAGGAAGAAGAAGAAAGUGAAAAUGAUGAAGAAGGGAAGAAGAAGAAGAAAGUAAUGUAUUUGAAAGAUGUGAUGGCAAAGCAUUUAAUUGAAGAGGGGCCUGAGUUUGAGGAUGAGGAAGAAGAAGAGUCUGGUGAGAAAAAGAGAAAGAAGAAGAGUUACAGUGAAGAGCAAGAGGAGAUACGGAAAGAGUUUUUAAAUGCAGUGAAUGAGGCUGAAGGAAAUGAGGAAGAUGAUGAUGGUUUUUUGAAAGAGAAAAAGAAGGAAAAUGAUCAUGAAGGAGAUCUGGAGGAUGACAAUAAUGAUGAGUUUGUUAAGAAAUUGGAUGAGUAUUUUGGUGGGGAUGCUGAGUUGGAUGAGAACAAGAUGUUUCUGAAGGAGUUUUUUAGAAAUAAGAUGUGGAUUGAUAAGGAAAGGAAGGAUAAAGAAUUGGAUGUUGAUGAUGAGGUGGAAGAUCUGUUGAGAGAAGAGGAGGAGCUUGAAAGACAAGAGCAGUAUGAGACAAAUUUUAGGCAUGAGGAAGGGGUGGAUGAUAGAGUAAUGGGUUACUCAAGGAAAAUAGAGGGGUCAGUAAGGAAGAAGGAUAAUGCUAGGAAAGGGCAGAGGAAGAGUAAAGAGGAGAGGAUGAAAAUUGCAGAGAUGGAGAGAAAGGAAGAGUUGAAGCAUUUGAAGAAUUUGAAGAAGAAGGAGAUGAAAGAAAGAAUGGAAAAGGUGAUGGCAAUUGCAGGAUUUAAGGAAGAGGAAGAUUUGUCUCUAAAUUUGAAGGAUUUGGAUGAUGAUUUUGAUCCCGAGGAGUACGAUAGGAUGAUGAAGGCAGUGUUUGAUGAUAAAUAUUAUGGUGCUGAAGAUGUGAACCCUGAGUUUGGCAAGGAGGAGGAAGAAGACCAAGGUGAUAUUGAGAAACCAGAUUUUGAUAAAGAGGAUGAGUUGCUUGGACUUCCUAAAGGUUGGGAUGUGAUUGAAUCAGGUGAUGGAUUUAAGGCUGCCAGGGAAAGAAGUUUAAAACAUAAAUUAGAAAAUGGUGAUGAUGAAGAUGAUGAUGAUGAUGGUGAUGAGGAUGAUGACGACGACGACGAUGAUGACGACGACGACGACGACGACGAUGGUAAUGAAGGAGAAAGAGAGGGCAGAGAGGAAGAAGAAGAGGUUCCUGAGGAGAGCAAGAGGAAGAGGAAACGUAAAAUGUCACUUGUACAGAGAGCUAGAGAGGAAAUGCUUGAGGAGUUCUAUAAGUUGGACUAUGAGGAUACUAUUGGAGACAUAAAAACGAGGUUCAAGUAUGCAAAGGUAAAACCUAAUAGGUAUGGAUUGAAGACUGAAGAGAUAUUAAUGUUGGAUGACAAGGAGUUGAAUCAAUAUGUUUCUGUGAAGAAGAUUGCUCCUUACAGGGAGAAAGAAUGGAAGGUACCUGAUAGUAAGAGGUAUCAGCAAAAAUUGAAGAAUAAGGAGCUUCUCCAAGGACAUAAGUUGGGUGACCGGAAGAAUGGGAAGAGGAAGCGAUCAAAGGAUGAUGGUGAAAAAUCAACAUCAGAGAUUGGUGCCAAGGGAGAUGGGAAGGCACAAUUUGAAGAACCAAAUGUUGAUACGGACAAUUUGUCCAAGCGUGCCAAGACAAGGCGUCGUCAAGCAAACCCCAAACUGUCUCACUCAAGGCUUGUUGCAUAUGGCAAGAUUCCUUCUAAAGGAAAGAGUAAACACUGAACACCAGCACUGAUUCAGGCCAAAGGCAGUAGAGGAGGAAGUUAAAAGUAUUACCAGGAAUUGAGAUUUUGCUUAGAUGGAGCAUCUUUCCGGUGAUUUGAUACUGCAACAUCAAAGCAUCCCCAAUUAAAAGUAAUUUGUGAGUUUUAUCAAUUUAUAUAUUCUUACUCAUCAUUGUCAUUUACUUCUAAGUCUCGGAAAGUCUUUUAGCCUAUAUCUACGAUCACGCUUGCCCUUUUAUAUUGUAAAUACAUGAUCUAGACAUAAUCAGGAAUAUAUCUUUCUAUGCUUCAACUUCACGACUCAUGAUCUUCAAAAUUGGCUGAUAUAUCAGUUUUGGUUGCACAGGCCAUCCCUAAUAUUAUUAAUUAUUACAGGGGACAUCAACUUUGCAAAGAGGCAAGAGGCUGAGGAAUGUUUUAGGUAAUUUUUUAUGAGUAAAGAUCAAGAGUAUUUUGGAAGAAUGUUGAGUUAUAAAAAAUUUUGCCAUUUUUUUGUACCAUUUGUUAAAUUAUCUCUCUUGUUAAUUUGUAUUACCUGCUUCCAAAUCUUGCUAUAAAUGAAAAUUUUCGAUUGUUGGUUCGAUUA
This is an RNA transcript of Pistacia vera, 2870 nucleotides long. It is a transcript of the gene named protein KRI1 homolog, with no coding region annotated. The transcript is spliced from 4 exons. Lineage: Eukaryota; Viridiplantae; Streptophyta; Magnoliopsida; Sapindales; Anacardiaceae. The record is from RefSeq and is a predicted model, not a curated record.